GGGCGGGCCGCGGGGGCUCGGCGGGUUUCGAGGACGCGGCUGGGCGACGGGCGCGCGGGCCGCACGGAAGGGAGAAGUCGUGUGGCCGGGAGAGCCGGGGCUGGGGCCGCUGUGGGUGCGCCCUGUCCGGCUCUCCCCGACGUCAUUCUUCCUUCGGGUUCAGGGCCCUCCCGGCUGCUCGGAGGAGAAAGGGGGCGCUGGCAUCACGUUGCGGAGGAGCCGAAGGCUAGCCAGGAGAAAGCUCUGCACAAAAAGCGGGCUCCACACCCCUGGCAGGGAUCCGACCGCCUCUGCACUGCUGAAGGCUCACCCAGGCGCAGAUCAGGAGGGCAGUGCUUACAGAAGCUGCUGUCGGUUUCUGCCUAGUGUACAAUGUCUUUUCAUGCAGGACAGCGGAUGUGUAUCUUCAGAUGCAGCGGUCUGGGUCGUGUCAGACUCGCAGUGGACACUUGACAAGUCCCGCCCGAGGUGAGGGCCUCGUCCCUGUCAUCGGCACACCUGACACAGAGCACGAACCGUCACCGGGGCACGCUGCGGCUGGGGCUCCGCUGACCUGCCUGCCGACUCACGUGUGGCUCUUGGCUGUCUUCGGAAUGCUUGGAGACUCCUCUGCAGUUUCCUCGCAGAGAGCCCUCAUAUAGGGUGUUGCCUGCAAAUGGCCUGAGUUCCUCGUGACCAUUAAGCUAAAGAAGGAAUCCUCACGCCGAGCUGCCGCAAGCCUUCUUCACUAGUGGCGUUUAGUGCAGAGCAGCUGGCAGCUGUGCGGGAGCCCAGGCG
RNAcentral lists this long non-coding RNA (777 nucleotides) under Capra hircus (goat). RNAcentral's name for it is "lncRNA (ENSCHIG00010006786.1)". Lineage: Eukaryota; Metazoa; Chordata; Mammalia; Artiodactyla; Bovidae. The record is from RNAcentral.